This is a long non-coding RNA of Monodelphis domestica (gray short-tailed opossum), 4051 nucleotides long. RefSeq lists it as uncharacterized. NCBI's taxonomy places the organism in Eukaryota, Metazoa, Chordata, Mammalia, Didelphimorphia, Didelphidae. The record is from RefSeq and is a predicted model, not a curated record.
AAGGAGAAAGCAGGAGGAAAAAGGAGAUGGAGAGAGAGAAGAAAUGUCUUAAAAUGCAAUAGGGAAGAGGAGUUAAAAAACUAGAAAGAGAUAUAUUAAAUAUAGGAGUCUCUCUCAAUGCCAGUCAUCCCAUGAGUUCAUUCCACUGUACCAAGAGAGAAAAACAAGUCCCAAGGAAGAUUUGGGGAGGUCCUAUUAUGUACAGAUGUAUGCUGUUCAUUUUACAGAUGAGGAAACUGGAUCCAAAAGGAUUAAAUUAUUUUCCUAGGGUCACACAGCUGCCAAAUAGCUGAGAUGGAGAAGUGGAGGCAGCAGAAGUUAUGUGACUUGCUCAUGUUUCUACAGCUAAGAAGGAGCAGAGGUUAAAUUGGAACUCAGAUCUUGAUUUAGUUUAUUACCAAUAAUUUAAAUUGUAGGGGAAAGAGAUGAGAGAAAGGUCUAUUGUUAGAACAUUCAAUUGUAGCGUGAGGCCUGAACUAAUGUGGUCAUGGGGGUAAUGGAAAGGAGGGCAUCUGCUAACCAUAUCAAAUGCCACCUUUUCAGUGAGUUGACUUUUCUAACUUGUUAUUGGGAAAUUAUGAACAAGAUGUGCAUUCUUUUUAGGGGUGGGAUCCUGCUAAAGGUCAACUCUGUUAGGGAAUUCCCAGUUGAUCUGAUAUGAUGAAAUCUUUCUUUCCUUUUCACAUGAUUAACUUUCUACACUCUUUGGUAAGUGAAGCAAUAACCAUUUGCCUUGGCUUGAUAAUUUAGUCUAGUUCUCAAAUCAUUCUUUUUACUUCUUAGAGGAGAGCUGGAAAGGACCUUAGAGUUCACCUAUCCUCAAUUUCUAGAUGAGGUACUGAAGCUCACAGAGGUCAAGUGCCUUGUCCAUGAUCACAUGGGCAGUCUAGAGUUUAACUAGAUUUCAAAUUCAGAUCCUUUGACCCACUGUAUCCAGGGCUCUUUCCAGAAAACUAUGCUUUCCCUUUAUUUUCAUAAAAGUUCAAAAAAUAGGGUUAUUUCAACAAAUCUUAACCAGUCAUCAUUAAAUGAUAGUUCCAAGAAGCUAGGAUUAGAAUCAAAGAGAAGAAAAUGGAGGUCACAUAUGGUCCAGCUUGGUUAUAAGAAGUUCACAUAUUGCUUAGUAAAAGGAUAGAGGCUUUCAUUAGAACAACUGUUGGGGCUGUGAUGUUGUUGUCACUAAUGCUUCCAUGGAAAGCCAGCAUGUCAUUAUAAAGGAAUGUGGCAGCCAUGUGUGCCUAUAAGAAAUAGGACAUUCUCUCUAUAGAAGACAACAACAGGCUGAGCCAAAUAAACUUUGUUCAAGUUAAUACCUAACUUAGCUAGUUCCCGUGUUCCUUCAGUUUGGGCAAUGCUUGUUCUGUAUCAAAUGAAUGGUUUCUCUUUGUUCUCCCUUUAUCAGUUGGACAAUCCAUGAAUGCCAUUCUUAGCCUUUUAGUAAGUCUUCAGUCAACAAUGAAGGCUGGAGUUCAAAAGAACUGCCACAUUGUCAUGAAAUUCCAGUUUCUUUUCCCUAAUAUGGUACUGUAAUUUUUUUUUUAUCUCUCCAGUUCCCUGAUUGUCUUCAUUUGGAAAUGUGACUAAAUCCAGGAUAAGCAGCAAGUUCAUAGAAAGGGUGGAAAAUUCUCUUCAUUAUAUUUGCCUUAGAAAGAGGACUUUACUAACACAGGUCACCAAAGGAUAUUACUAUUUUUGGUCAUAUUAAGGGUACCAGUAAUUAUCCCACCUACUACUGGAAGGGUCAACAGGCUCCUGACUUAUUUCAAGGUUCUUCAAGACCAUCAUCUCCUGAUCUCCUAGUUGUGUCUAUGUAAAGAGGCUCAGUAAAAUAUGGCUCUUGGAUGAUUUUGAAGGAUUUCACUCACUAAACUGGCCAAAUGACUCCUUGCAUAGAGUUGUGUGGACAGCCAUAGCCAUCCUGAGAGGCCAGCUCUAGGUCAAAUUUUAAAAGAGUCUAAGUUUGUCUUCAAUAGUUGCUUUCUAUUUUUACCAUCAUCUCUUUCAUCCUCCAGGCAUCCAAUAUCUCACGCUGCCCACUGGCUGAAUAGAGGCCCCUAUUUCAGUUGCCCUUGCUGGGCAGUGUUCCAUACCAAGGACCUUUCAAUUACUUCUCUGUCUUGUGUGCCCUGCUUUUCCCCAUCAGAACUAACUUGCCCUGUGUCUGUCCCGUAGUCAAAGCCCUGCUUUCUGUUCUUUUUUGUUUGUUUGUUUGUUUCCAUCACAGACCCUUUCAGCUGUCCCUGGAAACCUAUUGACCCUUUCUCAGAACAAUAUUUACAAAUGAAUAAAGUAAAAUAUAUAGAAUUACAAAAGAAAUCAAGUAUAUUGAAAUAUAAUUAUCAAUAUACUCUUGUUUAAAAAAAAAUAGGUUCACAGAUCUCCCGCUCUAAUGCAAGGCGUUUCAAGGGAGAAAUUGUUUUCAAAGGGAGAUUUCUGAUGAAUCUCAAAUCACAAUAUCUGGGUUGUAGUCUACUUCAGUAAUUCAAAGCAAACAAUGUAGAUGAGAAGUCUGAAGAAACUGAAAAACUGAUGGGUCAGUAAAAGGUACAUUUACCAUUUCCUGUCACACAAAAUGUCAUCAUAGCCCAGCGUCCACAUGGGUACAGGAUAUAUGUGAGGGAACAUGUUAGCAGGGGAAAUGGUUUGUGCUGAAUAUCAGGAGACCUGUAUAUCUUGCUUUGAUACUUUAUUAGCUUAUUUACAUAGGCAAGUAACUUAAGCUUUCUGGACCUUGGUGUCUUCAUCUUCAAAAUGGGGAAAAUAUUUUUUGUAUGACUUGCUUCACAGAGUUCUUGCAAGGAAAAUUCUCUGUAAACAGCACUUCAGAAUGUUCCUUUAGUGAGGUUUGUUGUUAUUAUUCCUAAUUGUAUGAUUUAUUCUUAUUCUGACUGCCUCGUGCUUUUUGUGAGUCACAAAUCAUUUUUGAAUGGAUAUAUGAAAUAUAAUUGAUCAAGGAUGUACUAUGUGCUGGGUACUGGAAAUACAAAUAUAUAAAGUAACCUAGUCCUUGCUCUCAAGAAGUUUACAUUCUAAUAGAGGAAAAACAAACUUUAAAUCACAGGGGUGGUAAAGAAGGAAGAGGUGUUUUGAUCAGAGAAGCCUGAUAUUUUAGCACUGUUAAGUCAAAAUCUUCAUCAUGUCACUUCCAUAGUCUGGACCACCUCACAAUAUCUACAUAUAUUAAUUUGCUAUUAAAAAUUUGAAGGUGUACAUAUUUAAGACCUUUUGAUCUUAGAACAGUAGGGACAGUUAGUUUUGGCAGGAGAGAGCAUGAAAGUACCAUAUUUGGUAUUCAAAUUCAUACACAUUUUCCCACAGAGAAGGUGUUUACACAGAUAGGCUAAUUUUUGUUCAAGGUAUAAUUCAAGUACUGCCUCCUAAAAGUAAUAUGUAGUAUUUUGUGAGUAUUUUGUAUUUUUUCCCCAUGUACAAGUUAUUUUCUCCUAACCAAAAGUAAUAAGUAACUAGAUGGCAUUGUGAAUAAAAUGUUAGACUUGGAAACAAGAAGGUUGGAGUUCAAAUUCUGACUCAAACAUUUACUAGUUAUAUGCUCUGGAAAAUUCACUUGAUCUCUAUCAACCUCAGUUUCCUCAUUGGAAAAUGGGAUGAUAAUAGUACUUUUUGUAUAACAUUUUCAUGAGGAUAAGAUUAUAUAAUAUAUCUAAAGUGCUUUUCAAACUUUAAUAUGCUAUUGAAAUUUUAGCUGUUUUUAUUAGCAUGAUAGUAAUAAAUAUUUUUGCCCUAUAUCUCUAUGUUUAGCAUAAUGUCUAGCACCUAUGUUUAAUUAAGUACUUGUUAAAUGGAUAAAUUAAAAUUCUUGAGCAGUUAGCACAGUAUAGGAGAAAGAACACUGGGUUUAGAAAAAAAGGAUCUGAGUUCAAAUCUUGGCUUUGUAUGUUACUAUCCCUGUGACCUUAGGUAAAUAUCUAAUCUUUACUGGGCCUCAGUUUCCUAAUCUUUAAAAAAAAUAAAGAAUGUAAUUAAUGGACAGUGAAGUCCCUUUCAAUUCUAAUUCUAUAAUCCUGUGAAUUUAAGUUUGCUCAAGAAUAAU